RNAcentral lists this ribosomal RNA (408 nucleotides) under uncultured bacterium. RNAcentral describes it as "partial 16S ribosomal RNA". It matches the Rfam family "Bacterial small subunit ribosomal RNA", at positions 28 to 526 of the family's 1533-position model. The record is from RNAcentral.
GACGAACGCUGGCGGCGUGCUUAACACAUGCAAGUCGAACGAAGUGGCGAACGGGUGAGUAACGCGUAAUCAACUUGCCCUUCAGAGGGGGACAACAGUUGGAAACGACUGCUAAUACCCCUGACUGCAGGAGGGUAUUGCGGUUGAUGAGAUAGUUGGAGGGGGAACGGCCCAACAAGGCGAUCAUCAGUAGCCAGUCUGAGAGGAUGAACGGCCACAUGGGGACUGAGACACGGCCCAGACUCCUACGGGAGGCAGCAGUGGGGAAGCAUCCGAAAUGGACGAAAGGCUGACGGAGCAACGCCGCGUGAGUGAUGACGGCCUUCGGGUUGUAAAGCUCUGUUAAUCGGGACGCGGUACCGGAAUAGAAAGCCACGGCUAACUACGUGCCAGCAGCCGCGGUAAUUC